AGGCUGCUCCCACCACAUGCAGGAGGCAGUGCCAGGCAGGACCCAGCAUGGACACGAGGGCCCCCACUCAGCUGCUGGGGCUCCUGCUGCUCUGGCUCCCAGGUGCCACAUUUGCAGCCGUGCUGACCCAGACACCAUCACCCGUGUCUGCAGCUGUGGGAGGCACAGUCACCAUCAGUUGCCAGUCCAGUCAGAGUGUUUAUAAUAACAACGACUUAGCCUGGUAUCAGCAGAAACCAGGGCAGCCUCCUAAGCUCCUGAUCUACAGGGCAUCCAAACUGGCAUCUGGGGUCCCAUCACGGUUCAGCGGCAGUGGAUCUGGGACACAGUUCACUCUCACCAUCAGCGGCGUGCAGUGUGACGAUGCUGCCACUUACUACUGUCUAGGCGGUUAUGAUGAUGAUGCUGAUACCACAGUGAUACAAGCCCUAACAAAAACCCCUCAGGAAAGCAGAAGUGUGAGGCUGGGCUGCCCCAGCUGCUCCUCCUGGCCCCAUCUGCUGAGAGAGAUUCUCAGAGCAGCCAGGCUUGAAGGUCCUGCAGGGUCAGGUGGAAGGGGCCAGGGUGACUCCUCUGAGGCUCCCUCCUUCCUCCUCCUUGGCGGCAGCAUCACAGAGAUGACCAUGUCCCUACUGUUUUAAGGAGGGCAAUUAUUCUUUACAAGUAUUUUA
Oryctolagus cuniculus (rabbit) is the source of this 671-nucleotide non-coding RNA. The record is from the annotation of a RefSeq genome assembly. Lineage: Eukaryota; Metazoa; Chordata; Mammalia; Lagomorpha; Leporidae.